Molecule: long non-coding RNA, 195 nt
Filed under: Polistes fuscatus (common paper wasp)
Lineage: Eukaryota; Metazoa; Arthropoda; Insecta; Hymenoptera; Vespidae
Description: uncharacterized LOC122525788
Source: RNAcentral
CAUCUCUUUUUCCAUCUACGAGAAGUAGGAGGAGGAGGAGGAGAAGAAUACGAGAAUGAGACACCAAAAACAAUCAAACGAUCCAAGAAAGAGUCACUAAUUGUAAGUGUUCUGAGAAGGAAGGAAUGAACGUACGAGAGAGGAGUAAUCUUUCGUCGAAGUGUACACCGUCGUGAGCCACGUUUCACUGAACAA